ACCAUAGAUUUAGAUUAUUAAAUGUUAAGUAUUAUUUUACUCUUAUUAUAUUUAUCUUUUUUGCAGCCACAGCAAUUGAUGUUGAAAAACUGAUGCUACCAAUCUCUCCUCUCUUGAUUAUUCAAGCUCAGAUUGUGAUGGACCUGGAAUGUGACACCAGAUACUCUUAAGUCAAGAACCAAAUAAAGCACAGAUGUGGAGGGAUCUGCAACUAAACUAACUGGAGGAAAGGAACCUUUAGUGUGGGUGAACAUACUACCUUGAUGUCCAGCAAAGGCUGCACAAGAGCUCAUUUGAUGGCACAUAUUCUGUCCUGUCUACAUCUCUGACGACCUGGAAGUGCUUUGACAUCAGAUCAUCAUCAUGUUGCUGCCCUUUUUCACUGUCCCUUUUCCACAACAUCAUUUGAACUUCAUCAUUUCCUGUCUUGUAGCAGUAUUUUCACCUGUUUUUAAAAUUGUAAUACUUUUUGAUGCAUUAAUUGUUGACUGGUUUUAAUGAUCAAUUGUUCAUUAGUGUUCUGUUGCUUUGUUAUAUUGAAUAAUUGCUACUGUUUCAGUAGGGUUUACACAAUAAACUUUUAUUGUGAA
Danio rerio (zebrafish) is the source of this 590-nucleotide non-coding RNA. Lineage: Eukaryota; Metazoa; Chordata; Actinopteri; Cypriniformes; Danionidae. The record is from Ensembl.